Molecule: ribosomal RNA, 506 nt
Filed under: uncultured Pseudomonadota bacterium
Lineage: Bacteria; Pseudomonadati; Pseudomonadota
Description: bacterial SSU rRNA
Rfam family: Bacterial small subunit ribosomal RNA
Source: RNAcentral
UGGGGAAUCUUGCGCAAUGGGCGAAAGCCUGACGCAGCAACGCCGCGUGAGUGAUGAAGGUCUUCGGAUCGUAAAGCUCUGUCGGCAGGAAAGACGGGGUGUUUGGCCAAUAUCCAAGCACCCUGACGGUACCUGCAAAGGAAGCACCGGCUAACUCUGUGCCAGCAGCCGCGGUAAGACAGAGGGUGCAAGCGUUGUUCGGAAUUAUUGGGCGUAAAGGGCGCGUAGGCGGCGCCGUAAGUCACGUGUGAAAUCCCAGGGCUUAACCCUGGAAGUGCGCGUGAUACUGCGGUGCUAGAGUCCCGGAGAGGGUGGUGGAAUUCCCAGUGUAGAGGUGAAAUUCGUAGAUAUUGGGAGGAAUACCGGUGGCGAAGGCGACCACCUGGACGGUGACUGACGCUGAGGCGCGAAAGCGUGGGGAGCAAACAGGAUUAGAUACCCUGGUAGUCCACGCCGUAAACGAUGGGUACUAGGUGUUGUGGGUAUUGACCCCCGCAGUGCCGACG